Solanum tuberosum (potato) is the source of this 3114-nucleotide long non-coding RNA. RefSeq lists it as uncharacterized. The transcript has 2 exons. NCBI's taxonomy places the organism in Eukaryota, Viridiplantae, Streptophyta, Magnoliopsida, Solanales, Solanaceae. The record is from RefSeq and is a predicted model, not a curated record.
AGCUCUGAUUGUGUUGUUUGGGAAUCUCUUUUCUGUGAUUACAGUUUGCAUCUUGUUUUGCUAUGCAAUAUUUUCCUGAAUAACUCAUUUUUUGAGCAGAGGUAUAUCGUUCUGGUAUAGUUCUGCUGCACAUAUUUGAGUUCUAGGAGGUAAUUAUCUCAAAGCUUGUGUUUUUCAUUGCCUGUCUGUUUAGAAGUAAGUUUGGUUUGUACAUUCCGUUGAUUUUUAUAAUGACUACUGUAUAAGUAUUGUGUUGCUUUUGAAACCAUCUAAAUUCAAUUGAUGAUUUGAUCAUUUCUUUUUGAUUGAAAACAUUUCAGGUAGUAUGCAUUGCUCUUGAAAGCUUUCAAGUUUAGUUGAUAACAGAACCAGCUUAUCUACAGCUCCGUUUCUUACUUUUCUGAAAUUUUAGUUUUACUGCACAUUCCUGAUUUCUGAGAGGUGAAUAUAUUUAUGAUUUCUGAGAGGUAAAUAUCUCAAGUUUGUUUUUUUCUUUGUCUGUCUGUUUAUUGGUUUGAAACUUAAGAUUUAAUUUGUUGGUGUAUUUCAUAUGAGAAGAAAUUAUUGCAAUUUGCACCUCUUGUUUCAGUCUUUUUAGUUCCCAGUAUUGUUAUUUGUAAUGAAAUUGCGGUCAGAUAAUUGAUUAAACUGUCAUUAGUCUUGCAACUCGGAUAUUCACACUGUCUUUAUUGUUCAGUUACUUGCUGUUUGCUUUGAUGCAUUCAAGGAAUUUAUUUUUGUUAUCCCUAAUGCCAGUUGAUGUAGAGUUGUGCAACUUAGAGAUCUUGUUGAUAAGUGUAUCUAUAACAGGCUCAGCUAACCUCAUUUUUUGAGCCGAAGGUCUAUCCGAAAUAGUUUCUCUACCUCCUAGUGUAUGUUGUUGUAUAGUGCUGCUGCACAUGUUUGAGUUCUUAAAGGUAAAUAUCUCAAGCUUUUGUUUUUCCUUGCCUGUCUUCUUAUUGAUUAAAACUUAUUAUAAGAUUAGAUUUAUUGGUUUAUUUCAUAUGAAAUAAAGAAAUAAUUGUAAAUUGCACCUUUUGAUUUGUCCUUUUUUGUUCCCAACAUUAUGCAUAAAUAUAAGUGCAGUCAAAUAAUUGCUUAAACUCUCGCUAGUCUUGCAGCUUGGGAUAUUCACACUAUGUUUUUGUUCAGUUACUUGCUACUCUCCUUUGAUUUAUUCGAGGUAAUUUAUCGUUGUUACCCUUAAUGUCAGUUGAUGUAAUUGUGCAAGUUAGAGUUCUUGUUCAGUUUUUCUGUUGAUUAAACUUUAAUUUGAUCUAGUUGAAAUUCAGUUUACUUUAGCUGAACAUCUGAGUGAUUGUGCAAAACAUCUUUUUCUCUCUCAUUGACAUACUUUUUUCUCGUGGAAUGCUACAAAGUUCUUCUAUCUACAGUUGUAGCUGUAUUAUUCUGUGUUUUGAAUUGGAAAUUAUAUGGCCUUGGAAUUUUACUUGGAUUUGUUGUUUUUGAAAUUUAAUCCAAGUUUUCCUUGUGAACAACUUUCCUGUUAGGAUGCUCUUUUGAGGAUUUUAGACUUGAGUUUAACUCGGUGGUUCUCCUAAAGAGUUCUGGUUGAACUGGUAUGACUGGUACACCAGCUGGAGCUCAACUAUUAGUGGUUGCUCUAAUCCUGCAGCUUGAUGUACACAGUAAAGCUUUUCCUUGUUGGUAAGUUGACAAACUCAACCCUGUAAACAUGGAAUAUCGGAACUUUUAAAGUUUUAUUUGAGCUCUAUCUUGGUGAUCAAUUGUCUAUGAGUAGUUUCAACACCACUUUCUGUUUCUACUUGGAUAUCAAGCUUGUUAAUUUACUCUUUGGCUCUGGUUGAUCUAGUUUCGGUAUGGUUUUGCACUUGUCUCAUGACAGACAAUUUGAUUAAGUGAGGACAGAAAUCUGUAAAGAUUUCACCACACAAGCUGAUUAGAGUUUUGUGUUCUAUUAAUGUGUAGAAAUAAUAUAUGCUGACAGAAUCAUAAAAAUUCUAAUGUCUUUUGCAAUUCAUGAUUGUAGCCAAUUUGUAUCAUGUUUACUUAUAGGACAUUGAGUCAUUUCUGUCCCUUUGGUAUUUGCUUAUCUCCUACCAAGCUUGCUUCAUUAUGAUUCUAUUGAAUUAUCCUGUUAUGUGGCCGAGAAGCUUUAAUAAUUAUUAUAACUUGUUCAUUGAUACAUGAUUAAUAAGCUAUGAUCUUAAAAAGAGGUGUUUGAGGAGAAGUCGGAAUGAUGCACAAGGCUUUUUCUAUUUUUCAGUUUGGAUGGGCAAGGGUUUCCUUCCCACUGAAACAUGGAAGAUUAUUUUCCUAAUACCUAGUCAUGAUGCAUGUGCCUCAACAAUUAUUUCUGACGCAAGGCAUUGUUGGGUCGGAUCGAUGCUGCAUUUGCCUUUUAAAAUUAUUCAACCUCUUGACCAUUCUCCCAUAGCACAAUCCUCUUAUUGGGAUAAUAUUGUACAACUUCAAUGUGUUAUUGCAAGGAUGACAGGAGGUUCAUUAAAUCUUGAGAAACUUGGACUAGAGGGAUUAGAGUUGCAAGAAGAUAUCUUCUUUGGACUUCAAUGCACUUAGCAUAGUAAGGUUUGCUCAACUUGAACAACAGAUAACGCAGAGGAUAAAUAACAGGUGGCAGUUUCAUCAAGAAAAUCCCCUUGAGAGACGUCUAUAUCAACCGCUCUCCCUCGUCUUUUUUAGCUCACUUGUUCUUCUCAUCAUAUAAAAAAUUUCUUCUAUUUUUUUCAAAUGACGCAGGAGGAAAACUAUUAAGGCGAUGGUUCCAUCAGGUGAGAUGCAUUUUAGGGGAUGUGAGGAAGAUCCCAUGGGGGAGGUACACAACUGAGAUAAGAGAGAUCCUGGCUUACGCUUGGAGCUUUUGAUAUACCCAAAGAAGUUGCUAGGGCUUACAAUUGGCGGCGAGGAGGUACCGUGGUCACAUUCCUCGAGAUAACCUCCAAAACACCAGAGAUUUCUUGAGAAGCUUAUUUGCAAACAACAAACAACAAAAGAAGAGAGCUCCAACAUUCUUAUGGAUAUUCAGAGGAUUAAAAUGAUGAUUCAGUGCAACCAAACAUCAACUCACAUUUUCGUGUUGAUCUAUGAAUAGAAUCUAUACAUCGCUAUCAA